Molecule: long non-coding RNA, 1063 nt
Filed under: Vulpes vulpes (red fox)
Lineage: Eukaryota; Metazoa; Chordata; Mammalia; Carnivora; Canidae
Description: lncRNA (ENSVVUG00000008222.1)
Source: RNAcentral
CUUACACUGAGGACUUUUUUUGGUUGCUCUGGGUUCUUUGCUCUGAAUUUAUUUUAAAAUAUUGUUUGGUAACUUGUUCAGUUUAUUUUCAUUUUUAUGGUUGAACCAACAUUAUUACUUUUUAAACUCUCACUGGAGGUUUAAGUCUUCUUAUUGUCUAAAACAAAUUUCUCCUCAGUGGCCAGUGCCAUCGGAUUUAUAGAUAACCUAUUUAAUAUGCAAAUAAAACAUUUCUACAUCAAUUCUUAUUUUCAUAUACAUUUAUGCAGAGUAACUCUGUUUAGGGCAUAGAUGAAGAAUCCAGGGCUAUAAAAAGGUCUUCCCAAUCUAACUCAGAACUCCUGCUGGGGCCCUAUGCAGGGUUCAUCGCAGGUCAUGUGAGUUGUUCAGCUUGACUAGUGAAGCAUACCACUUUUUUCACUAUGUCAAUCAUAGGUCCUAAGGCUUCUGGUGUCGUCAACCUCAAGGAGAAUUAUAUGAACGCUGGACUGUAAGCAGCAAGAAAGGAGUGAAAGCAUGAGUGUCUGCAGAGACGUGGACAGGAAUAAAGGACCCAGGCCUGAAUCCAUUAAUCUGCAUGAUGAAUUGAAGCGAUCACCACCAUUCAGAACUAUCACAUCUCCUCAAUAACCAAACUUUCUUUCUAGAUCACAUCCAUCAUGCCUACCUUUUUUUUUUUUCUCCCCAGCCUCAGUUUUUCCUGGGGGUGUCCUUUAGACUUCACUAUCUUGAAAGUUCGUUAGACAUGGAACCUAGUUACACUUAAGUAAUGACCCCAAAGGCACUUCUGUUCCUCUUUGGCGUUCAGACUUACAAGCGGCAUCAUGAUGCAAUCUCUGUCUGACAACAGCAUCAGGGUAUAUGAAGAAGAGCCCGGGACAUGGGAGGACCCACGCUUCUUCCACGUUCUUCUGUAUGUGAGGCAGUGCAGCAUCUGACAAAUUGUCCGCCUCCCUAAGCCUUCGUGUUUUCAUAUAACAUGCAUAAUUAUAAUGUCCUGUACUGCUUAUAGAUUUGAUGAAAUAGCACGAUCAUAAAUUAAGUGAAUAUACUUUGCAAAGUG